CUCAGUUCGGAUCGGAGUCUGCAACCCGACUCCGUGAAGCUGGAUUCGCUAGUAAUCGCGCAUCAGCCACGGCGCGGUGAAUACGUUCCCGGGCCUUGUACACACCGCCCGUCAAGCCAUGGAAGCCGGGAGUGCCUGAAGUGCGUGACCGCAAGGAGCGUCCUAAGGCAAUACCGGUGACUGGGGCUAAGUCGUAACAAGGUAUC
Molecule: ribosomal RNA, 206 nt
Filed under: uncultured bacterium
Lineage: Bacteria
Description: partial 16S ribosomal RNA
Rfam family: Bacterial small subunit ribosomal RNA
Source: RNAcentral